RNAcentral lists this ribosomal RNA (297 nucleotides) under uncultured delta proteobacterium. RNAcentral's name for it is "partial 16S ribosomal RNA". It matches the Rfam family "Bacterial small subunit ribosomal RNA", at positions 568 to 863 of the family's 1533-position model. Lineage: Bacteria; Deltaproteobacteria. The record is from RNAcentral.
CGCGUAGGCGGCUUUACAAGUCAGAUGUGAAAUCCCGGGGCUCAACCCCGGAAGUGCAUUUGAUACUGUAUGGCUUGAGUAUGGGAGAGGGAAGUGGAAUUCCUGGUGUAGCGGUGAAAUGCGUAGAUAUCAGGAGGAACACCGGUGGCGAAGGCGGCUUCCUGGACCAAUACUGACGCUGAGGCGCGAAGGCGUGGGGAGCAAACAGGAUUAGAUACCCUGGUAGUCCACGCAGUAAACGGUGAUCACUAGGUGUAGCGGGUAUUGACCCCUGCUGUGCCGGAGUUAACGCAUUAA